AACGAACGCUGGCGGCAUGCCUAACACAUGCAAGUCGAACGAGACCUUCGGGUCUAGUGGCGCACGGGUGCGUAACGCGUGGGAACCUGCCCUUAGGUUCGGAAUAACUCCCCGAAAGGGGUGCUAAUACCGGAUAAUGUCUUCGGACCAAAGAUUUAUCGCCUUUGGAUGGGCCCGCGUUGGAUUAGCUAGUUGGUAGGGUAAAAGCCUACCAAGGCGACGAUCCAUAGCUGGUCUGAGAGGAUGAUCAGCCACACUGGGACUGAGACACGGCCCAGACUCCUACGGGAGGCAGCAGUGGGGAAUAUUGGACAAUGUGCGAAAGCCUGAUCCAGCAAUGCCGCGCGAGUGAUGAAGGCCUUAGGGUUGUAAAGCUCUUUUACCCGGGAUGAUAAUGACAGUACCGGGAGAAUAAGCUCCGGCUAACUCCGUG
Molecule: ribosomal RNA, 433 nt
Filed under: uncultured bacterium
Lineage: Bacteria
Description: partial 16S ribosomal RNA
Rfam family: Bacterial small subunit ribosomal RNA
Source: RNAcentral